ACCCAUUGCCAUUUUGUUGAUUGUUCCAGUGCUUUCUCAUAUGGCUUUUGGAUGUCACCUAAUCUCUAUUUGUUUUUUGUCAUUGCUGUAGAGAAUUUUCGAGCACUUUGCACAGGUAAGCCAACACUGUCUGUCAUUUUAAGUGUUAGGUUAUUCCUUAAGUUUAUGUUACACUGAUGCAAAUACUCAGAUUUGGACUUCUUUUCUCAUUACAAGAAGUUUGUACUGAAAGCAUUGUUGAUAUUGAAAAUAGUCAGUUGUAAUCAGGGUUCAAAUUAUCAUUUGAACACCAUACAAUUUUUUUUGCAAUACAUUACCAAUACCAGCACAAUUCAAUUUUAUCAUAUUGCCCCAUGGGUGUGUCACAAUGCAUUCUUACAAUACAUUCUGCUAUUUUGAGCCUUGGUUGCAAUAUGUGAACUGAUGUUAACUGUAAUACUGAGACUCUUAGUUGCACUAUCCUUCUAAACAUGUGCUACUCCCACUUCAAAUCAAUAAUUCCGCUAUUUUGAGCCUUGGUUGCAAUAUGUGAAUGGAAAAAUCACUUUAUUUUUGGCCCAAGGGAGCCAUUUCUCAUUUUCUUGUUGUCUUGCAAACUAAAUUAGUAAUUCAUCUUGUGGUUUGCAAUUCUAAUUUCUGCCUGAUAAUCCAUACUUAGCGAGACUUCUUUAUGGUUUAUUAAAUCUAAACUGUCCGCUUUAUUCUGUUGCUCGAUUGCUUGCUGAAUUGAAAUUCUAAUUCCUUGUGGUAAAUGGUAAUUUCCCAGAGAUCUGUCAAUAUUGGGAGUAUUUUUAAUGUUUCCUUGGUAAAUGGUAAAUGGUAAUUUCCCAAGAGAUCUGUCAAUAUUGGGAGUAUUUUUAAUGUUUCCUUGGUAAAUGGUAAAUGGUAAUUUCCCAAGAGAUCUAAACUGUCUGCGAACAUUCCAGAAGAACCGAUCAAAUAGAUAGAUGAAAGAAAGGAACCCACAGCUUCCGCCCAAGUGCAGACUCUGCAUUCCAUUUAGUGUGUUCCAAUGCUAUUUUUAUUUCUGAUAUCUGUGUCAAUGUGCAUAUGGGUGUGUUGGUAUGUGGCUGUAAGUAUCUAAUGCUUUGACAAUGGUUUGAGAGAAAUGAAACUGAAAGUGCUUUGCAAGGUGUCUUGUAGCA
Magnolia sinica is the source of this 1145-nucleotide long non-coding RNA. RefSeq lists it as uncharacterized. Lineage: Eukaryota; Viridiplantae; Streptophyta; Magnoliopsida; Magnoliales; Magnoliaceae. The record is from RefSeq and is a predicted model, not a curated record. The transcript is spliced from 2 exons.